This is a non-coding RNA of Pelobates cultripes (western spadefoot toad), 1360 nucleotides long. The record is from the annotation of a GenBank genome assembly. NCBI's taxonomy places the organism in Eukaryota, Metazoa, Chordata, Amphibia, Anura, Pelobatidae.
UGUAAGUUGAAGGGGCUCUUCACGCUGUAGCUGACACAUACUUUUUUUAAUUCAUUAUACAGUGAAUGCAUUAAAAAGUGUAACAAAAUAUUGACAAAUAAAAAGUUUCUGCAGUUACUAUAAAUUAUCAGGAUGUGCAGCUUCUGAAGUGAGCUCUGGACCAAUUUAGAAUUGACCAAACUAGAAGUGACUCAACUCUCAAGUUUUAAUAACUUUAUAGAAAAAGCAGGGAUUUGGACAAUUCUACUCUCAGUUGUCAGAUUACUGCUGUCGAAAGCUAAAAGCUGGAGUUCAACUCCCAGAAACCCUGAGAGCCACGACAUCACAUGUAGAAGUAUUUGUGGAGCAAUGCUGCAGGUUUGAGAGCGGUAUCCAAAGGGCAGGCAUAUAAAGAAAAACUAAUUACUAUUAAAAAAAAAAAUAAAGACGUUAUUUACAAUUUCAACUUGAAUGGUUACGUACAUGUAUUUUAAGAUCUUCAAUGGUUCCUUAUAUGUACAUAUAACCUCUUCAUGCUGUUGAGUAGCAUGUGGAAUGAAGAAAAAUUGAUAAAGAAACCAAGAUCCUUCCUUGAUCAAUUCAUUAUUUUAGAAAAGUUCCUAUGUACUGCCUUUCAACAUCUAGAAGUGAUUCAGAAAAACAUUGCUGACAAUGUUAAUGAUAUUAGUGACACUACUAUCAAAAUGUUUCAAUGGUUUUGUUAUGGGCAAAUUUAAAUAUUACAAGUUUUAGAAUGAAAUGUUGUAUUUCUUAAACUGUGUACUUUGUCUUUAAGAGAUAUUGCAAACUGACCAGGUGUUAGAAAUGGAACAUAUUGUUUUUCAUAACUGUUUCUUUAAGCAAUAACCUCAGUGCAUAAUAUGUUUGCGCCAUUUUGUCCCAGACGAAUUACAAUAACAAUAAUGCAUAAACAAGCUUCAAGGCUAUACUACGACACUUGCAGUACACAAUAUACUGUGGUAACCCCAAGUUAAUGGAACUUCCCCAAAUCCGGGAAUCUCCCACGACUGUACACUUACGACUUAGUAUAAACAACAGAUAACCUAUUCAGACUUUAAGAUGCCAUCUUGAACUAAGUCAGGAAAAUUUCCAUGACGUAUACUCCCCUUUAAGGGAGGUCCUAAAUUGAAUAAAGUAAAAGAAGUGUUACGUUUUCAUAUUUGAACUACGGUAACCUAAAAUGAAGACAGAGGUAUAAAUAGGUGUACUUUUAAAUGUUAAGAUACAGAGGAGAGACUUGGAGACAGACGCUGCUCCAUCUUAAAAUGACAGAGAGGCUGACAUGAUCACAUGUUCAGAAGGGUAUGUUAACCUAUUAAUGAUAUUUGCAAGCAUGUAAUUUAAUCUUAUAAACUCUGCU